CUUCUCUUCCUGUUAGUCACACUGGGAGGAGGGCUCAGCACAGUGGGCCGGUCAUAAAUUACCAUGUGGGUCAGAGCAGCCCAAGUGCAAUACCAAGGGAAACAUAAAUCUUGGCUCGAGUCCUGUGAACAAUUCGUGAGAAAUCCGAAUGUAUUGAAAAAUCACAUGUUUACAGAGGGAUUGGAGACUAAGCCUAUCUUUAAAUUCAGCAGGCCCAGAAUUAAUCUUGUCUUUUAUCUAAACCAGUGUGAGAACCCCAGAAUUAGAUGACUAGUCUGAAGAAAACUCGACUUUCUGACUAGAAAUUGCCCACAAAUUCAAACACAGUUGUGUGUACGAUUUCUGGAGGUUUGUGGCUACUCUGAGGUUCAUCCACAAUUCUCAGGGCAAGCUUGGCCUUCCACAUCAGUAGGGAUUCUCUGUUCAUUCUUCUUGGAAAAUAUAGCAUUGAGGAUUUAAAUACACAGUCCAUUUUUCCUUAAUGCUUGAGGUGGUUCAUUGCUCAAGUUAAUCUGUACCUGCCUUCGCUGCCAUUUGGAG
Molecule: long non-coding RNA, 540 nt
Filed under: Heterocephalus glaber (naked mole-rat)
Lineage: Eukaryota; Metazoa; Chordata; Mammalia; Rodentia; Bathyergidae
Description: lncRNA (ENSHGLG00100038402.1)
Source: RNAcentral